GCGGCCAUAGUUCAGCAGCAGAACAUCUGCUUUGCCUGCAGAAGGCCCUGGGUUCAACCCAUGGAACUCUCCAAGUCAGGCGGCUGCC
Molecule: non-coding RNA, 88 nt
Organism: Podarcis lilfordi (Lilford's wall lizard)
Lineage: Eukaryota; Metazoa; Chordata; Lepidosauria; Squamata; Lacertidae
Source: the annotation of a GenBank genome assembly